AGGAGGCAGCAGUGGGGAAUAUUGGUCAAUGGGCGCAAGCCUGAACCAGCCAUGCCGCGUGAAGGAUGAAGGCCUUCUGGGUUGUAAACUUCUUUUAUCUGGGAAGAAAAUUACGGUUUCUACUGUAACCGACGGUACCAGAGGAAUAAGCACCGGCUAACUCCGUGCCAGCAGCCGCGGUAAUACGGAGGGUGCAAGCGUUAUCCGGAUUUACUGGGUUUAAAGGGUGUGUAGGCGGGUCAUUAAGUCAGUGGUGAAAUCUCCGAGCUUAACUUGGAAACUGCCAUUGAUACUAUUGAUCUUGAAUUUUGUUGAGGUAGACGGAAUAAGUCAUGUAGCGGUGAAAUGCAUAGAUAUGACUUAGAACACCAAUUGCGAAGGCAGUUUACUAAACAAACAUUGACGCUGAGGCACGAAAGCGUGGGGAUCAAACAGGAUUAGAUACCCGAGUAGUCCC
RNAcentral lists this ribosomal RNA (457 nucleotides) under uncultured bacterium. RNAcentral describes it as "bacterial SSU rRNA". It matches the Rfam family "Bacterial small subunit ribosomal RNA", at positions 343 to 797 of the family's 1533-position model. The record is from RNAcentral.